Molecule: transfer RNA, 70 nt
Filed under: Uenoa lobata
Lineage: Eukaryota; Metazoa; Arthropoda; Insecta; Trichoptera; Uenoidae
Description: tRNA-Met
Rfam family: tRNA
About the family: Transfer RNA (tRNA) molecules are approximately 80 nucleotides in length.
Source: RNAcentral
UAAAAAAUAAGCUAAUUCAAGCUAAUGAGUUCAUACCUCAUUUAUAUAAGUUUAAAUCUUUUUUUUUUAA